RNAcentral lists this long non-coding RNA (1074 nucleotides) under Chrysolophus pictus (golden pheasant). RNAcentral's name for it is "lncRNA (ENSCPIG00010003145.1)". The record is from RNAcentral. Lineage: Eukaryota; Metazoa; Chordata; Aves; Galliformes; Phasianidae.
AAAACUUCCAGCAGCUUUUCUGUGCUGUGACUUACUCAGUGUGGUCAGGCUGCAGAGAUCUCUAUGUGCUUUGGAACAGCCAGGACUCCAGCAGCAGGUGGGGAAGGGGUGCUGGGGAGGCCGGAUGGCUGCUAUGGGGAUGGGCAGCGAAGGGCAGCAGCCGCAGGCUGUAAUGGAGCCUGGGACAGCUACAAGAAGGCACUAUGGCCGCCUUCAGUGCAGCAUUUGUACACAGGCUGGGAUCUUUUGCAAGACUUUAUUCUCAAAAAUAGAUGCAAUUAAGAACUACAAACCACACACACGCAUAUAUAUAUAUGUCCCAACCUACAUACUCGUACAUCAGUGUCUGUGUGUAUACGCAAAACGGUCUUUCUCAUCUGCAGCAGCACACAGGGCAGCUUCUGCCGAUCCAUUUUUAUUUUUAUUUUUAUUUUUGUCUUUGUUUAUUUCCUCUCCCAUCAGCUCCCCGCUCCCCCAGCCCUGAGCCCACAGCCCAGCACGGAGCCGCAGGGCGGGGCUGCCUGGCGCCGCUCCCCCGCGCAUCUCCGCAAUCUCGCGAGAAAACGGUCUUUCUCAUCUGCAGCAGCACACAGGGCAGCUUCUGCCGAUCCAUUUUUAUUUUUAUUUUUAUUUUUGUCUUUGUUUAUUUCCUCUCCCAUCAGCUCCCCGCUCCCCCAGCCCUGAGCCCACAGCCCAGCACGGAGCCGCAGGGCGGGGCUGCCUGGCGCCGCUCCCCCGCGCAUCUCCGCAAUCUCGCGAGAUUUUGUUUGAAACGGCGGCGGGAGGGCGAAGCUCGGCUCAGGCCCGGCCCGGCCCCGCCGCGAUGCCGCGGAUGCUGCGCACGUACUCGCGGCGCGGCGGGUACCUCCGCGCCCUGCCGCAGCCCGACCGCUGGAUUUCGCCCCCUCAGGACCGCAGGCGGCUCUUCAGCUCCUCCUCGGCCGCCUCCAGCGCCCUGUCCAGCGCCCUCUCCGCCCACUCGGACGACCCCGACUUCUCUCCGCCGAGGAAGCGCCGCCAGAAGCCGCNNNNNNNNNNNNNNNNNNNNNNNNNNNNNNNNNNNNNNNNNNNNNN